AGUGAACGCUGGCGGUAGGCCUAACACAUGCAAGCCGAACGGCAGCACAGUAAGAGCUUGCUCUUACGGGUGGCGAGUGGCGGACGGGUGAGGAAUACAUCGGAAUCUACUUUUUCGUGGGGGAUAACGUAGGGAAACUUACGCUAAUACCGCAUACGACCUACGGGUGAAAGCAGGGGAUCUUCGGACCUUUCGCGAUUGAAUGAGCCGAUGUCGGAUUAGCUAGUUGGCGGGGUAAAGGCCCACCAAGGCGACGAUCCGUAGCUGGUCUGAGAGGAUGAUCAGCCACACUGGAACUGAGACACGGUCCAGACUCCUACGGGAGGCAGCAGUGGGGAAUAUUGGACAAUGGGCGCAAGCCUGAUCCAGCCAUACCGCGUGGGUGAAGAAGGCCUUCGGGUUGUAAAGCCCUUUUGUUGGGAAAGAAAAGCAGCAGGUUAAUACCCCGCUGUUCUGACGGUACCCAAAGAAUAAGCACCGGCUAACUUCGUG
This 492-nucleotide ribosomal RNA is filed under the name uncultured bacterium. RNAcentral's name for it is "partial 16S ribosomal RNA". It matches the Rfam family "Bacterial small subunit ribosomal RNA", at positions 29 to 507 of the family's 1533-position model. The record is from RNAcentral.